This 118-nucleotide ribosomal RNA is filed under the name Sinocyclocheilus rhinocerous. The record is from RNAcentral. Lineage: Eukaryota; Metazoa; Chordata; Actinopteri; Cypriniformes; Cyprinidae.
ACAGACAUAUCACCCUGCAGCCCAAGACUGGUUGCCCACUGAAGCUAAGCAGGGUUGAGCCUGGUCAGUACCUGGAUGGGAGUGGAACCGUACCAUUAGCUAAUACAUGCGGGCUGUC